UACAGAGGGGGCAAGCGUUGUUCGGAAUUAUUGGGCGUAAAGCGCACGUAGGCGGCAUUGCAAGUCGGAUGUGAAAUCUUAUGGCUUAACCAUAAAAGUGCAUCCGAAACUGCAGUGCUUGAGUACUUAAGAGGAUCGCGGAAUUCCCGGUGUAGAGGUGGAAUUCGUAGAUAUCGGGAGGAACACCAGUGGCGAAGGCGGCGAUCUGGGAAGAUACUGACGCUGAGGUGCGAAAGCGUGGGGAGCAAACAGG
This 253-nucleotide ribosomal RNA is filed under the name uncultured bacterium. Its description in RNAcentral is "partial 16S ribosomal RNA". It matches the Rfam family "Bacterial small subunit ribosomal RNA", at positions 524 to 776 of the family's 1533-position model. The record is from RNAcentral.